AUUGAACGCUGGCGGCGUGCCUAACACAUGCAAGUCGAGCGAGAAAGCUCCUUCGGGAGUUAGUAAAGCGGCGAACGGGUGAGCAACACGUGAGAAUCUACCCUUUAGUGAAGAAUACCCUCGAGAAAUCGAGGCUAAUACUGCAUACGUCCCUUCGGGGAGAAAGAUGGCCUCUUUGCUAUCGCUAAAGGAUGAGCUUGCGUACUAUUAGCUAGUUGGCGGGGUAAAGGCCCACCAAGGCAAUGAUGGUUAACUGGCCUGAGAGGGUGUACGGUCACACUGGAACUUAGACACGGUCCAGACUCCUACGGGAGGCAGCAGUGAGGAAUCUUGCGCAAUGGGCGAAAGCCUGACGCAGCGACGCCGCGUGGAGGAUGACGGUUUUCGGAUUGUAAACUCCUGUUAAGCGGGAAGAAAGCCUUGUUUCUAAUACAAGCAAGGUAUGACGGUACCGCUAGAGAAAGCACCGGCUAACUUCGUGCCAGCAGCCGCGGUAAAGUGACG
RNAcentral lists this ribosomal RNA (504 nucleotides) under uncultured bacterium. Its description in RNAcentral is "bacterial SSU rRNA". It matches the Rfam family "Bacterial small subunit ribosomal RNA", at positions 30 to 530 of the family's 1533-position model. The record is from RNAcentral.